GUCUUGUGUAGCUCAGUUGGUGGAGCGUGGCGCUUGGAACGCCAAGGUUGUGGGUUCAAUUCCCAUGGGGGACC
Molecule: non-coding RNA, 74 nt
Organism: Coregonus clupeaformis (lake whitefish)
Lineage: Eukaryota; Metazoa; Chordata; Actinopteri; Salmoniformes; Salmonidae
Source: the annotation of a RefSeq genome assembly